Molecule: long non-coding RNA, 1529 nt
Filed under: Anser brachyrhynchus (Pink-footed goose)
Lineage: Eukaryota; Metazoa; Chordata; Aves; Anseriformes; Anatidae
Description: lncRNA (ENSABRG00000003454.1)
Source: RNAcentral
CCUCCAACCCCGCUACGGGGUGUGUGUGUGGGGGUCCGGUGGCUCCUGCUCUGUUCGGGCUGGGAUUUGGGGUGGGGUGGGUGGGGGUGGGGGUCCCCACGCCCCCCCCACACCCCCCCGGCCCUGACACCCGGCCGCCGGCAGCCUGGGGGAGGAAUUUUACCGCGAGGCCAUCGAGCACUGCCGCAGCUACAAUGCCCGGCUGUGCGCCGAGCGCAGCAUGCGCCUGCCCUUCCUCGACUCGCAGACCGGCGUGGCGCAGAACAACUGCUACAUCUGGAUGGAGAAGACCCACCGGGGGCCCGGUGAGCCCCCCCCCCGGGAUGGUCCCUGUCACCUCCCCACCCCAACCCCACCUGGGUCACCUCUAGGGACCCCCCGCCCCAGCCAGCCGGGGGAAUCCCGUCCCGGGUGUCCCGCUGUGGUCCCGUGCGCCCAUGGGUGGCCCACGGUGACCGUGAGCACGCCGUGGCCACCGCCGUGGGCACCCCACCGCGUCCCCAAGCACUCCAUGGUGUCCCCAGGCACCCCACGGUGUCCCCCGGCACCCCACCGUGUCCCCAGGCACCCCGUUGCCACCACCAUGGGCACCCUAUGGUGUCCCCAAGCACCCCGCCAUGUCCCCAGGUACCCCAUUGCCACCACCAUGGGCACCCUAUGGUGUCCCCAGGCACCCCACCAUGUCCCCAGGCACCCCACCAUGUCCCCAGGCACCCCAUGGCCACCACCAUGGGCACCCUAUGGUGUCCCCAAGCACCCCACCAUGUCCCCAGGCACCCCAUGGUGUCCCCAGGCACCCCAUGGCCACCACCAUGGGCACCCCAUGGUGUCCCCAGGCACCCCACCAUGUCCCCAGGCACCCCAUAGCCACCACCAUGGGCGGCCCAUGGUGUCCCCAGGCACCCUAUGGCCACCACCAUGGAUGUCCCAAUAUGUCCCCAGGUGUCCCAACACAUCCCCAGGAACCUUGCCCUAUCCUCAGGCACCCCAUGACCACCACCAUAGGUGGCCCACGGUGUCCCCAGGCUCACCAUGGGUGUCCCAACAUGUCCCCAAGCACCCCACGGUGUCCCCAGGCACCCCGCCAUGUCCCCAGGCACCCCAUGGCUACCCCCACAGGUGUCCCAAUAUGUCCCCAAGCACCCCACCAUGUCCCCUGGCAUCCCAUGGUGUCCCCAGACACCCCAUGGCCACCACCAUGGGUGUCCCAACACAUCCCCAGGCACCCCACCAUGUCCCUAAGUACCCCACCAUGUCCCCCGGCACCCCACGGCCACCCCACCGAGACACCAAGCACCCCGGGGGAUGCUCCAUGAGGCUGGGUCCAGGGUUGCGGGGCUGGCUUUGGGGUUGGGGCUGGUGUCGGGGCUGGGGGCAGGGUCCGGGUUUAGGGGCAAGGUCCGGGUUUGGGGUCGGGGGCCAGGUUUGGGGGCAGGGUAUUGGAUUUAGGGUCAAGACUUUGGGUUUAGGGUCAAGACUUUGGGUUUAGGGGUCAAGACUUUGGGUUUGGGGUCAAGACUUUGGGUUUG